GGACAGCUCGCCAAACAAACUUCCUGGUGGCCGUUCAGAAGGACAAAAUUCUUUGCCGAAGCAUGUGCCAGAGUUUGACAAUGCGCGGCAGCCAUUGGAAGCUUUUGGCACACACUGGGCCACAAGUGGGUUCCAGGGCUCUUAGGGACAGAGUGCUGCUAAUUUGUGUGGCAACUGCUUCAGAAUGGUGAGCGGAGACGACACCUGUUUAAGGAGCAGGAAGUCAGGACAGGGGAUAGAUUGAUUCUCCAGGCUGAGAAACGCUGGUAAAGGAAGGGGAAAGCCCCAUCUUGGAAGAAAUUUCAAUUAUCUGCUGACCUGUGUGCCUGAUGGCAGACUUACCAGCCUUUCCAUGACUCCUCGUACAUGACUUUUUCCAUUCCUGGAAGCAGUGUUUCUCUACUCCGGUUAAUUUGGUGCGAACUUACUUUGUUCAUGUGGACUUUACAUAUCAGAUACUGGAUACACAUCGCAAUAGCAGGACCCUGUAAAUACUGUCUUCUGGAUUUUCACCACAGCAUGAUGGAUUCCCAGCUUCAUAAACUGUAUAACUCAUGUGUAUAAACUUUCCUAAUUACUAAUACCUGGCUCUGUUUUAAUUCUGCUUCCAUAUGUUCUUGACUUCUCUGCAGAUAUAACAGUAAGUUUCAUGUCUCAUUGCUCAAUUAGUUGCUGUUGUUAGCUUAAUAAGUGAAAGGCUUUCUGGUGUCAUUGACCUGAUUUUUAGGAUUGCAAAAGGCUGUAUACAUCAUUUGUAUUUAUUGCCAAAUAAACCUUUGUAAGUGUAUGCUUUCCUUGGGCCC
This 803-nucleotide long non-coding RNA is filed under the name Felis catus (domestic cat). RNAcentral describes it as "lncRNA (ENSFCAG00000053528.1)". The record is from RNAcentral. Lineage: Eukaryota; Metazoa; Chordata; Mammalia; Carnivora; Felidae.